UCCCUGCUUUAUAAGGAGGCUCUUUUCCAGCUCAAAGCCAGGUUCGGGUUUGCCCAGGGCUGCAGCUGCAAGAUGAGUCACGGUUCUACUUCCCCUGGAAGGGCAGAAGUUGCAUAAGAUUGUUGAGGCUCAAGCGAGAUAAUGUGUGAGGCUGUUACUCCAGACUAGAGCCUUGAUUUUUAAACUUCAGCGUGCAUCAGAAUCGCCUGGAAGGUUUGUUAGAACCCCGCCCCCAGAGUUUCUCCUUCAGGGGGUCCAGGGUGGGCCUGAGAGUUUCUGAAGUGUUCCCAGGGGUUGCCGAUGCUGCUAGUCCAGGCACUAUAUUUAGGGAACCCCCGUCCUAAAGCCUCACCAAUUGAAUCUCCUAAGAUGAUGAAGAUGGCCUACAUCUGUGCUGUCCUAAACGGUAGCCAACAGCCACACGUGGCUACUGAGAACUCGGAGUGUGGCUAGCACGCCUGAGGACCCGAAUUUAAAAAACAGUUAAUUUUAAUUAACUUAAAUUUAAAUAGCCACGUAUGGUUGGUGGCCAGCGUUUUGGACAGUGUUGUUCUAGAGCUCAUCUGAGUUUGCAGAUGAAGAAACCGAGGCUUUGAGAGGUACCUCCCCUCCCUUGGAGUCUCAUGGCAAUCCUGGGGUGGUGCUCCGGCUGGCUGGCCUUCUUGAACAGGUCCUGUGAUAUGGGAACAUUUGAGUGCUUUGGGGGUGUCUUUGUUGCUUUGAGUUCCAGGUAGCUGAAAGGAGUGGGCUGGAAGGGGACGGGGAGACCCAUUUGCUGGCUCAUGACAAAGAUGAGAGCUGCAGACACAGCGCACAGCGGCAGGAAAAGGCUAAAUGAAAGAGGAUCAUCAGAGCGAAUCACGCUACUGCUCAGAAUGACCAGCUCUUCGGGAUUGAAGAAAGCUUCCUUCAUCCUGUCCUUGGCCUCCGUGGUCAAAGAGCUUCAGGGGCCUUGCUGACCUCCUUCCUCUCCAUUUUGCUGUGCCCUCUCACUGUCCCUGAACUUGAGAUCCUGGAGGUUUAGCUGUGCUCUGGGUCCCUUGAAGACUUCGGAGGCAAUCCACUAAGAAAUGGGGAUUUAAGUGAGACAUGAAGAAGAACUUCCUUAUGGCAAGAACUAUAAGAUGUUGAAGACAAGACACAGUAUUGGGAGUAAAGGCGGUGAGGCACGGAAAUAUAUUUACCAACACCCAGGGAACCGAGUCUUCUCCCCCAGGAUCCCUGCUCUGCUCGUUCAGGGCAGGAAUCCCAGCCAGCACAAGGCCCAGGGCUGCUGAGUGAACUCACUAGCUAGCUAGUCACUGAGCAACAGAGUCUGGAGUCUGGGUCCCCUGAUGCCCAGUCUUGAGCUCUUUCAUGUCCUCCAUUCCUCACUCAGUUGACACGAAGGCACUGGGGCCUGAAGGACACGGAACAGGUGAGGCCAGUCCCCCUGCUUGAACAGCUCUGUGUAGGAAAGGAGAUGACUCCCUCUCCCCUCUCCCCUCUCCCCACGGUCUCCCUCUCCCUCUCUUUCCCCGGUCUCCCUCUGAUGCCGAGCCGAAGCUGGACUGUACUGCUGCCAUCUCGGCUCACUGCAACCUCCCUGCCUGAUUCUCCUGCCUCAGCCUGCCAAGUGCCUGCGAUUGCAGGCGUGCGCCGCCACGCCUGACUGGUUUUCAUAUUUUUUUGGUGGAGACGGGGUUUCGCUGUGUUGGCCGGGCUGGUCUCCAGCUCCUAACCGCGAGUGAUCCGCCA
RNAcentral lists this long non-coding RNA (1737 nucleotides) under Homo sapiens (human). Its description in RNAcentral is "HSALNT0184178". Lineage: Eukaryota; Metazoa; Chordata; Mammalia; Primates; Hominidae. The record is from RNAcentral.